Molecule: ribosomal RNA, 274 nt
Filed under: uncultured Acholeplasma sp.
Lineage: Bacteria; Bacillati; Mycoplasmatota; Mollicutes; Acholeplasmatales; Acholeplasmataceae
Description: partial 16S ribosomal RNA
Rfam family: Bacterial small subunit ribosomal RNA
Source: RNAcentral
UAGCUAGUUACCAUCAUUAAGUUGGGGACUCUAGCGAGACUGCCAGUGAUAAAACUGGAGGAAGGUGGGGAUGACGUCAAAUCAUCAUGCCCCUUAUGACCUGGGCUACAAACGUGAUACAAUGGCUGGAACAAAGGGAUGCGAAGCAGUGAUGUGGAGCGAAACCCAUAAAAACAGUCUCAGUUCGGAUUGAAGUCUGCAACUCGACUUCAUGAAGUCGGAAUCGCUAGUAAUCGCGGAUCAGAACGCCGCGGUGAAUACGUUCUCGGGGUUU